ACGAUUUUUUUCGCUCAAUUUUUUUAUGAAAAUAGCCUAAGUUGUUACAAAAAGACUCACGAAAAAUAUAGGAUGGAGCAACUCUCCUAAAAAAUAAUACAAAAAACCAUGUUCUAAACGUCAACAUUUUCAAAAACCGAACACGAGCAUUUUGAUGGUUUUUGGCAAUUUCUAUAUAACACACACAAAAAAAUAUUAUGGUAAUGACAAAAGUAACUUACUUUUGAAUUAAUAAGUGGUUAAAAUUUGCUACAUUAAAAGUUUUUUUCUUGUUUUGAAAAUGAAAACUUUUACUGCUACAGUUUUUGAAAAUCUCAUUGCUAACUUAUUUAAAAGUUUUAACUUUUAAUUCGACUGUAUAAUUUCUAACAUUUUGUCGUUCUCCUGAAACCGUGUACGUCUAAGUCCAAAAUGUAAACAAACGUUUAGGUGAUUCCGGUGGUUAGUGAGUGGUGGUCCACGACGUCAAUCAAAACAGAACGCGUCCGCAGCCAGGACUUGGACGCGGAUACCUUCGAAGGAGGAUGGUGCGGAACAAGGUUAGGGGAUUAGGGGAAAGUUGGUUUUCAAAAGGAUGAGGCCAGCUUCCUGCCGGAUCUGCAGCUGUUUCACGACCGAAAUGGGACGCCGUUUAUGUGGAUGUGAAUUUGCACCGGUUGUAUUCGAUAAAGUUAAUUUUAACGAUGAGGAGAAGGAUCCGACGGAAGAGGGAAACGACAAGAAGCGAUCGGAGGUGGUCAGCGCGGAUGUUGCACUCGGUGCCGGCGGUUUACGACCAUCAGCAGCAUUAUGUGCCGGAAGUGAUGACGGGACAUUGUGGGAUGUCCUGAGGGUCCGCAGUCCAUUUCUCGGUGCGGGACAUGUUUGACGAGUAUUACAUAAACAUCCGGAAGAACAGUUUGCACCAGUUCUGGAAGAACCGUCUGUACGAAAGCCGCAGAUCCUGAAGCUGUCGUACUCGGAUUACUUCCAGAGGUUGGAGUGAUAUCCGACGAACCUGAUCAAGAACAUCUACCUGGAAUACCGAAGAAGUCACCGCAACUCCCGCCCGCAAACUCUCAACUCGCGACGGCGCAGCUUCGGCCAGAUGAACUGGCAACAUCUGUGCCAUUCCGAAGGAGGACGAUGUGAUCGAGAACUAUCAGGCGCUUCACUUCCCAGUCGGAAAACGUCGACUUACCUUCCCGAAUUAACACCCAAUGGCCAACUCCUCCAAGCCUGCCCUGAUGAUGGCCGGCAACGACUCUACAUCGCUGUCGCGCUCCAAAAUGUAGGCCGCGAUGUUAAGCAGCAUAAGCAGCAGUUUUAAUAUUAAAAUAAAAAUAAAAAUAGAAAUAAAAUCCAUCACAUUUUUCGAAAAUCAUCACUGUAAUGUUAAAUGUUAUUUAUUGUUGCCAUAAAAAGUUUCUUCUUAUAAUAAAAGUAAAAAACUUUUACCGAUACAACGAUUUUGUUCCAGAAGUGCACUGCCGCUCUAAUCUAGUCCGUCCCAUAUGUAAAAAGUGGAUGCUGAGAUAACGCCGUGAGAAGGCCAAAAAAUGUUGCACCAUUUUUCACAUUCCCAAUCAAAUUUUUUUUGCUAAAUUUUUAUACAAUUAUUUCAAUAUUAGUCCAACAAAUAUUUCUAACAUGAAUUUGUUUCAUAAAACAUAAAAUUUAGAGAUAAAUUUGUGUUAUUUUCAUACUAGAACUGACUUGCCUUUAUUAUUCUAUAAAUAAAGGCAAGUCAGUCAAUGAUAUCAAGGUAGGCUUGAACAUUUUCACUAGAAGUUAAACUGUCAUUUCAAGGUUUGUUUGGGUAAUUUCCAAGUAACUUUCACAAAAAAUAUAAAAUUACGUUAUUUUAUGUUUAUUUCAGAUUCAUUCAUUUAUAGUAAAGCUCAUAACUAUGAAAAUGUAAUCAUAAACGAGACUAAACUACUACAGAGGCAUGAGAUAUUUGAAUGCGUGCCUCAACGUCUGUACCGUUGAAAUUUAGUGAUCCACAAUCUACGUUUACCGGAAGUAGAACCUCUUCCAGAACUAGGACCAGGGUAAUUCAUUCAAGAUUGAAUAGAACUUAUUUUAUGGAAUAUUACUCAUAAUGGUAUGUAGUUUCUUGUUUACUCGUGGUUGUCCCUUGCAUGAAAAAAGCACAAAUGGUUUCAAAUAUUACGCAUCAAAAUUUAUAAAUAUUCUUGCAGAUAUGAACUACUUAUAAUCUUUUUUUAAGUUCUGCGGGUUCAUAGAAACAUAGUCCUUGAAAUUUAAAUGGUUCCACGUUCAUUCAAUCGAUUUAUGAGACAUUUCUUUCGAAGAAACUGACUUGCCUUUAUUUUGCAUAUGGGACAGCACGAAAGUGAUUUUUAUUUUGGAAUUUUCAGAACAAACAUCACUUUUUUAUUAAAUUGGCUCAAAGUACAUGUAAAAACAAAACUUUUGCUAUGUUUAUCUCAAAAAUGACCAAAAUACAUAUGGGACGGACUAGAUUAGAGCGGCAGUGCAUGGUAGUAUCAAAAA
Molecule: long non-coding RNA, 2499 nt
Organism: Culex pipiens pallens (northern house mosquito)
Lineage: Eukaryota; Metazoa; Arthropoda; Insecta; Diptera; Culicidae
Exons: 3
Source: RefSeq, a predicted model, not a curated record